Molecule: ribosomal RNA, 135 nt
Filed under: uncultured bacterium
Lineage: Bacteria
Also listed under: 1 other name
Description: partial 16S ribosomal RNA
Rfam family: Bacterial small subunit ribosomal RNA
Source: RNAcentral
UGGGGAAUAUUGCACAAUGGACGAAAGUCUGAUGCAGCAACGCCGCGUGGAGGAUGACACAUUUCGGUGCGUAAACUCCUUUUAUAUGAGAAGAUAAUGACGGUAUCAUAUGAAUAAGCACCGGCUAACUCCGUG